AACGCACCUUGCGCCCCUUGGUAUUCCGAGGGGCAUGCCUGUUUGAGUGUCAUUAAAUUAUCAACUCGAAAAUCUUGCAUUUUCGAUGUUUGGAAUUGGAGCGUGCGGGGCCCUACUAGGCUCUGCUCCUCUUGAAAUGCAUUAGUGGAACUUCUGAUUGCAGACCUGCUCCAGCGUGAUAAUUAUCUACGUUGCAGUAGCGAAGUCGGAGGAUCUGCUUACAACCGUCGCAUAUAUGCGCGACAAACCUCAUGACAAUUUGACCUCAAAUCAGGUAGGAUUACCCGCUGAACUUAA
RNAcentral lists this unclassified non-coding RNA (297 nucleotides) under uncultured fungus. RNAcentral's name for it is "sequence contains ITS2". The stretch from base 1 to 52 matches the Rfam family "5.8S ribosomal RNA", at positions 103 to 154 of the family's 154-position model. The record is from RNAcentral. Lineage: Eukaryota; Fungi.